This 630-nucleotide ribosomal RNA is filed under the name uncultured bacterium. RNAcentral's name for it is "bacterial SSU rRNA". It matches the Rfam family "Bacterial small subunit ribosomal RNA", at positions 88 to 715 of the family's 1533-position model. The record is from RNAcentral.
AUGGCGACCGGCGCACGGGUGAGUAACGCGUAUCCAACCUGCCCAUAACCACGGCACAGCCCGUCGAAAGGCGGAUUAAUGCCGUAUGAGGUUCCAGAGUAGCAUUAUUAUGGAACGAAAGGAUUGGCGGUUAUGGAUGGGGAUGCGUCCGAUUAGAUCGUUGGUAGGGUAACGGCCUACCAAGUCAACGAUGGAUAGGGGUUCUGAGAGGAAGAUCCCCCACAUUGGAACUGAGACACGGUCCAAACUCCUACGGGAGGCAGCAGUGAGGAAUCUUGGUCAAUGGGCGCAAGGCCUGAACCAGCCACGUAGCGUGAAGGAAGACUGCCCUUAGGGUUGUAAACUUCUUUUAUAAGGGAAUAACGUCAGUAACGUGUUACUGAUUGCAUGUACCUUAUGAAUAAGGAUCGGCUAACUCCGUGCCAGCAGCCGCGGUAAUACGGAGGAUCCGAGCGUUAUCCGGAUUUAUUGGGUUUAAAGGGUGCGUAGGCGGGAGCGGAAGUCAGCUGUGAAAUUUUAUGGCUCAACCAUAAACUUGCAGUUGAAACUCCGUUUCUUGAGUACACAUGAGGUGGGCGGAAUUUGUGGUGUAGCGGUGAAAUGCUUAGAUAUCACGAAGAACUCCGAUUG